This 1594-nucleotide long non-coding RNA is filed under the name Pandoravirus salinus. RNAcentral's name for it is "putative ncRNA". The record is from RNAcentral.
ACAAAACAAAAAAAGCAAGGCUACUCGGAAAAAAGAAAACACGCCAACGCACGAGAAAAGGACGACAAAAUAAACAAACAAAUACUGAAAACGACACAAAAAAUAAUAAAAAAAUGUAAAAAAAGACGAAAAAGGGACGGCGGCCGAUGCGACAAGAGACCAAAAAAAAAGUCAAGGGCGGGAGGGAUAAAGAAAGAGAGAGUACCCCCACAGGAAGCCAAUUUGCAGCACCGAGACGGCGCCAAAGAGGCACAUCAUGGUCGCCCGCCUGCCACAACCGGCAUCGGUCGUCGGGUUGUUGCGCCGACGCAAGGCAAGAAAAAAAACACAACACAUCCACGGUGGACACACACACAAGGGAGCGAGUCAGCAGAGGCACGAGCCCAAAAGCAGGGGGCCGACGGCGCGGGAGCGUAAAAAAGCCGACAGGAGAGGCAAGGACUCUUUUUUUUUCCUUUCUUUCUCAUAAACGCGGGGACGAGGCGUGGAUGGGGCGACGUACAUGCGCUCGACGGGCAUGGCAACGACGGCGGCAAAGAUCAUGAGCGGCGGACCGUGCAGGCACAGCAUGCCGCCCAAGAGGCCGCUGACCACGCCACACGCAACGGCCAGUACGACGACGCCAACGCUAAGAGACGCCUGCCGCUGGGUCGCCUUUGACGGCGGACUCAGGAGCGGGCGCAUGGCCUCACGUUCGUCGACACUGUCGCCACCAGUGUCGUCGUAAGGGUCGACCGCCACCUCGCAAAAGGGAUCGCUCGUUGUCGCCGGAUCGCUCGACGUGGUGAGGCCGUCGGGUGCCUUGCGGGCGGUCGCCGCCGCCGCCGCGUGGGGAUUCGUGCGUGCGGCCUCCCACAAGGCGAUCGCCAGCAUGGCAGCACCCAAAAGGGGCCGCAACACCGUGGGCGGCUGGUCGGCGAGGAGCAGCGUGCCGACAUAGGUAAAAGCGGCCGACGGCACAAAGAGCACGCCGACGAGAGGCCACCAUAUGUGUCGACGGUGCGCGAUGGCCAGCGGCCAAAAGGCCGGAAUGGCCAUGCACAUGAGAUAGGCCACGGCGGCGCCCGUGUCGAUGGUGGCGAGUCCGGCCGCUGCGACGCCGUGCGCGAUCGCGUGAAAGGUGACGGCCAUGCCAAAGGCCGUGACGGCAGAUACGGCGGCUGCGACGAUCGACGCCGCGGCAACGACGCCCACGCGCACCAAGUCGACAUCUGGCACAUCGUAGACGGUCGCCGCCGGAAACCAAACUGGUGAGGUGUCGCCGUAGGUGUCGCCGUAGCCGUCGCCCGAAUCGUUGCGGCCGGCGGCCAUUGUCGCAGCCGCCUGCAGGGCCGCGUCGACCAACAGGUCUGUCAUCCCUCUUUUUUUUUUGGCCGAGUUUGCCUCGUGCCGGUCGCGUAUUGUUGGUUUUUUCGGGGCCGUCGGUCGGUGCGAGUUUUUUCGGCCCAUAGGUCUUUUUUUUGCGCGGCGUGCUUGGAUCUGCGACCGUUGGCGUCGCCGCCGAUUCAGAUGGCAGCGUAUUUUUUUUGCUCUGGCGGUUCCAUGACGGCCAAUGCCGUUGCAGUGCAGACAAAGCCCAAAAUACAAACCCCAU